CGAAUAAAUAUAUUGACUGCUUCGAAGCAAAUUUUUGUUGGUUUUAGCCUUUUUUGGGAGAAAAUGGGUAUAAGUGUUGUCUAAACACUCCUAAUCCAUCUCUAACACUUAUAAAACGUCAAAUGCAUUGGAUUGUGACACAUUUUGACCAUAAAAACACUAACAAAACUUUUUACUGCUUCUAAGCAAUUUUUUAUUGGUUUUAGCCUCUUUUAGGAGAAAAUAGGUAUAAGUGUUGUCUAAACACUCCUAAUCCAUCUAUAACUCUUAUAAUUAGUCAAAUGAUUUGGAUUGUGAAACAUUUUGACCAUCGAAACACUAACAAAGCUAUUUACUGCUUUUAAACAAAUUUUUGUUGGUUUUAGUCUCUUUUAGGAAAAAAUGGGUAUAAGUAUUGUCUAAACACUCUUAAUCCAUCUCUAACUCUUAUAUUUAGUCAAAGGCUUUGGAUUGUGACUCAUUUUGACCAUAGGAACACUAACAAAGCUAUUUACUGCUUUAAGCAAUGUUUUGUUGGUUUUAGCCUGUUUUGGGGAGAAAAUGGGUAUAAGUGUUGUCUAAACACUCCUAAUCCAUCUCUAACUCUUAUAAUUAUUCAAAUGCAUUGGAUUGUGACAGAUUUUGACCAUAAAAACACUAACAAAGUUGUCUACUGGUUCAAAACAAUUUUUGUUGGUUUUAGCCUCUUUGGAGAGAAAAAGGGUAUAAGUGUUGUCUAAACACUCCUAAUCAAUCUCUAACUCUUAUAAUUAAUCAAAUGCAUUGGAUUGUGACACAUUUUGACCAUAAAAACACUAACAAAGCUGUCUACUGUUUCAAAACAAUUUUUGUUGGUUUUAGCCUCUUUUCAGAGAAAAAAGGUAUAAGUGUUGUCUAAACACUCCUAAUCCAUCUCUAACUCUUAUAAUUAGUGAAAUGCAUUGGAUUUUGACACAUUUUGACCAUAAAAACACUAACAAAACUGUUUACUGCUUCUAAGCAAUUUUUU
This 988-nucleotide small RNA is filed under the name Arabidopsis thaliana (thale cress). Its description in RNAcentral is "ATSL035330". The record is from RNAcentral. Lineage: Eukaryota; Viridiplantae; Streptophyta; Magnoliopsida; Brassicales; Brassicaceae.